Molecule: small nucleolar RNA, 107 nt
Organism: Vitis vinifera (wine grape)
Lineage: Eukaryota; Viridiplantae; Streptophyta; Magnoliopsida; Vitales; Vitaceae
Rfam family: Plant small nucleolar RNA R71
About the family: R71 is a member of the C/D box family of snoRNAs containing the C (UGAUGA) and D (CUGA) box motifs. Multiple nearly identical copies of this snoRNA have been identified in Arabidopsis, and it is thought to function as a 2'-O-ribose methylation guide for 18S ribosomal RNA.
Source: Rfam
AAGCCAUGAUGAGGACAAGCAUUGAUGUCCUCCAUAUACCUUUCCCAACAUUCAUGGAACUUCUCAUUUUCUUUUGCAGAAAAGUUUGAGAUUUGUCUCUUCAACCC